This 76-nucleotide transfer RNA is filed under the name [Mycoplasma] gypis. RNAcentral describes it as "tRNA-Glu". It matches the Rfam family "tRNA". Rfam says of the family: Transfer RNA (tRNA) molecules are approximately 80 nucleotides in length. Their secondary structure includes four short double-helical elements and three loops (D, anti-codon, and T loops). Further hydrogen bonds mediate the characteristic L-shaped molecular structure. tRNAs have two regions of fundamental functional importance: the anti-codon, which is responsible for specific mRNA codon recognition, and the 3' end, to which the tRNAs corresponding amino acid is attached (by aminoacyl-tRNA synthetases). tRNAs cope with the degeneracy of the genetic code in two manners: having more than one tRNA (with a specific anti-codon) for a particular amino acid; and 'wobble' base-pairing, i.e. permitting non-standard base-pairing at the 3rd anti-codon position. The record is from RNAcentral. RNAcentral also lists the same sequence under 6 other names. Lineage: Bacteria; Bacillati; Mycoplasmatota; Mycoplasmoidales; Metamycoplasmataceae.
GGCCCUAUGGUGAAGCGGUUAACACACAUGGUUUUCAUCCAUGCAUUCGCGGGUUCGAGCCCCGCUAGGGUCACCA